AACGAACGCUGGCGGCAGGCCUAACACAUGCAAGUCGAGCGCCCCGCAAGGGGAGCGGCGGACGGGUGAGUAACGCGUGGGAAUAUGCCCUUUGCUACGGAAUAGUCUCGGGAAACUGGGGGUAAUACCGUAUACGCCCUUUGGGGGAAAGAUUUAUCGGCGAAGGAUUAGCCCGCGUGGGAUUAGGUAGUUGGUGGGGUAAUGGCCUACCAAGCCGACGAUCCAUAGCUGGUUUGAGAGGAUGAUCAGCCACACUGGGACUGAGACACGGCCCAGACUCCUACGGGAGGCAGCAGUGGGGAAUCUUAGACAAUGGGGGCAACCCUGAUCUAGCCAUGCCGCGUGAGUGAUGAAGGCCUUAGGGUUGUAAAGCUCUUUCAGCUGGGAAGAUAAUGACGGUACCAGCAGAAGAAGCCCCGGCUAACUCCGUG
Molecule: ribosomal RNA, 431 nt
Filed under: uncultured bacterium
Lineage: Bacteria
Description: partial 16S ribosomal RNA
Rfam family: Bacterial small subunit ribosomal RNA
Source: RNAcentral